AACUACUAGACCUAGGCUCUGAUACCACUUGAAGGAUGAUUUUGUGAAAAACAUGUUCAUUUAAGCAACAUCUAUAAGCAUGCAAUUAACAAUUAAAGGCGGAAUCAUGCUUGCAUGCACUUAAAAAAAAAACAUUAACCAUGAAAUUCAAACCCUAGUAGAUUGGUGAACCAAGACUCAACUCAAAUCAAAGUGAGUUGAGAAAUUAUACCUUUGUAGAUUCCUCUUUGCAUAAGCAAAGGCUAAUCACCCAAAGAGAGGACCUUCAUUCCUUGCAUCUUAGAUCUAUGGAUUUGGAUAGAUGAAAUGGUUCUCCAAGUUUUCAAAAUAGAGAACCUCUAAGUCUCCACACCAAGGUUAGAUUUAAGUAGAAAUGAGUGACCUUGGAGUAGUAGGAUUGCUAGCUAAUCCCUCCAAAGGGGGCCGGCCUCUUUAGAGAGAAAGGAGAGCUUUGUAUUAUCUCCAAUUUCCUAAAAGAAAAACCCUAAAUGAAUUUUGGCUAUAAAGUCAUAUUUAUACCUUAAUUCAUUGGAGUGGCAAACUUGUAAAUAAGUCCAAAACCCACUCCAUCUCUAAAUGGCCGGCCAAAGGGUUUCAUUGGGCUUUUAAGGCCUUUGUGAAUUAUUUGUCAUUAAGUUGUCAUACAACUUAAGUCAAUG
RNAcentral lists this long non-coding RNA (659 nucleotides) under Malus domestica (apple). RNAcentral describes it as "long non-coding RNA (MDOM_LNC012609)". Lineage: Eukaryota; Viridiplantae; Streptophyta; Magnoliopsida; Rosales; Rosaceae. The record is from RNAcentral.